GAUGAACGCUGGCGGCGUGCCUAAUACAUGCAAGUCGAGCGAACAGACGAGGAGCUUGCUCCUCUGACGUUAGCGGCGGACGGGUGAGUAACACGUGGAUAACCUACCUAUAAGACUGGGAUAACUUCGGGAAACCGGAGCUAAUACCGGAUAAUAUAUUGAACCGCAUGGUUCAAUAGUGAAAGACGGUUUUGCAGUCACUUAUAGAUGGAUCCGCGCCGCAUUAGCUAGUUGGUAAGGUAACGGCUUACCAAGGCAACGAGGCGUAGCCGACCUUGGGGGGUGAUCGGCCACACUGGAACUGAGACACGGUCCAGAGUCCUACGGGAGGAAGCAGUAGGGAAUCUUCCGCAAUGGGCGAAAGCCUGACGGAGCAACGCGGCGUGAGUGAUGAAGGUCUUCGGAUCGUAAAACUCUGUUAUUAGGGAAGAACAAAUGUGUAAGUAACUAUGCACGUCUUGACGGUACCUAAUCAGAAAGCCACGGCUAACUACGUGCCAGCAGCCGCGGUAA
Molecule: ribosomal RNA, 513 nt
Filed under: uncultured bacterium
Lineage: Bacteria
Description: partial 16S ribosomal RNA
Rfam family: Bacterial small subunit ribosomal RNA
Source: RNAcentral